RNAcentral lists this non-coding RNA (21 nucleotides) under Caenorhabditis elegans. Lineage: Eukaryota; Metazoa; Nematoda; Chromadorea; Rhabditida; Rhabditidae. The record is from RNAcentral.
UAUUCAAGUAGGUUUAAUUUU